Molecule: ribosomal RNA, 483 nt
Filed under: uncultured bacterium
Lineage: Bacteria
Description: partial 16S ribosomal RNA
Rfam family: Bacterial small subunit ribosomal RNA
Source: RNAcentral
GACGAACGCUGGCGGCGUGCUUAACACAUGCAAGUCGAACGCUGAAGCUCAGCUUUUGUUGGGUGGAUGAGUGACGAACGGGUGAGUAACACGUGAGUAACCUGCCUCCUUCUUUGGGAUAACGCCCGGAAACGGGUGCUAAUACUGGAUAUUCACUGGUCUUCGCAUGGGGGUUGGUGGAAAGGGUUUUUCUGGUGGGGGAUGGGCUCGCGGCCUAUCAGCUUGUUGGUGGGGUGAUGGCCUACCAAGGCUUUGACGGGUAGCCGGCCUGAGAGGGUGACCGGUCACAUUGGGACUGAGAUACGGCCCAGACUCCUACGGGAGGCAGCAGUGGGGAAUAUUGCACAAUGGGCGCAAGCCUGAUGCAGCGACGCCGCGUGAGGGAUGGAGGCCUUCGGGUUGUGAACCUCUUUCGCUCAUGGUCAAGCCGCAACAAUGGUUGUGGUGAGGGUAGUGGGUAAAGAAGCGCCGGCUAACUACGUG